This 905-nucleotide ribosomal RNA is filed under the name uncultured Gammaproteobacteria bacterium. RNAcentral's name for it is "bacterial SSU rRNA". It matches the Rfam family "Bacterial small subunit ribosomal RNA", at positions 56 to 968 of the family's 1533-position model. The record is from RNAcentral. Lineage: Bacteria; Pseudomonadati; Pseudomonadota; Gammaproteobacteria.
UGCAAGUCGAACGGUAACAUUUCUAGCUUGCUAGAAGAUGACGAGUGGCGGACGGGUGAGUAAUGCUUGGGAACUUGCCUUUGCGAGGGGGAUAACAGUUGGAAACGACUGCUAAUACCGCAUAAUGUCUUCGGACCAAACGGGGCUUCGGCUCCGGCGCAAAGAGAGGCCCAAGUGAGAUUAGCUAGUUGGUAAGGUAACGGCUUACCAAGGCGACGAUCUCUAGCUGUUCUGAGAGGAAGAUCAGCCACACUGGGACUGAGACACGGCCCAGACUCCUACGGGAGGCAGCAGUGGGGAAUAUUGCACAAUGGGGGAAACCCUGAUGCAGCCAUGCCGCGUGUGUGAAGAAGGCCUUCGGGUUGUAAAGCACUUUCAGUUGUGAGGAAAAGUUAGUAGUUAAUACCUACUAGCCGUGACGUUAACAACAGAAGAAGCACCGGCUAACUCCGUGCCAGCAGCCGCGGUAAUACGGAGGGUGCGAGCGUUAAUCGGAAUUACUGGGCGUAAAGCGCACGCAGGCGGUUUGUUAAGCUAGAUGUGAAAGCCCCGGGCUCAACCUGGGAUGGUCAUUUAGAACUGGCAGACUAGAGUCUUGGAGAGGGGAGUGGAAUUCCAGGUGUAGCGGUGAAAUGCGUAGAUAUCUGGAGGAACAUCAGUGGCGAAGGCGACUCCCUGGCCAAAGACUGACGCUCAUGUGCGAAAGUGUGGGUAGCGAACAGGAUUAGAUACCCUGGUAGUCCACACCGUAAACGCUGUCUACUAGCUGUGUGUGUCUUUAAGACGUGCGUAGCGAAGCUAACGCGCUAAGUAGACCGCCUGGGGAGUACGGCGCAAGGUAAACUCAAAUGAAUUGACGGGGCUCGCACAGCGUGAGCAUGUGAUUAUUCGAUGCACGCGAGAUC